This 526-nucleotide ribosomal RNA is filed under the name Popa spurca spurca. Its description in RNAcentral is "eukaryotic LSU rRNA". Lineage: Eukaryota; Metazoa; Arthropoda; Insecta; Mantodea; Mantidae. The record is from RNAcentral.
GUACGUGAAACCGUUCAGGGGUAAACGGGAGGGAUCCGUAAGGUCGAACGGGGAGAUUCAAUCCCGUCCGCUCGUCGGCACCCGGUCCGCGUUUCCGGAUGUCGUCGGCCGCCGGCCACACCGUAAGGUGCGCGCCGCGUUAGGUCGUCGGCGGGUCGUUUGGUCGUUUGGCGGCGGCGGGCUGCACUUCUCUCCCCGUAGGACGUCGCGACCACGUUGGACGUGGGGUCUAGGGCCCGGGAUGGAGCCCGAGGGGAUCGCCGAGGAAAUCUCGGGUUGACGUUCCCCCGGACCCCGGUAUGCCCGGCCCCGGUUCGACGGUAGGAAACGAGGAGAUGGCCCGCUCUUUUGCGAGCGUCCGGCCCGGUCGGCAAGCUCGACGUGGUGUUGUGCCGCGGCUCACGCCGCGACGUCGCCGCCCGCGGUCUGCUUAUUGCCGGAGUCCUCGGACAGCUUUGGCCGUUCUCCCGUCCGCGGCACUAUUGCUUCUGAUGCCUUCCCGACCCGUCUUGAAACACGGACCAAA